Molecule: ribosomal RNA, 365 nt
Filed under: uncultured bacterium
Lineage: Bacteria
Description: bacterial SSU rRNA
Rfam family: Bacterial small subunit ribosomal RNA
Source: RNAcentral
AACGAACGCUGGCGGCAUGCCUAACACAUGCAAGUCGAACGGAUGGUCGCAAGACCAUUAGUGGCGGACGGGUGCGUAACGCGUGGGAACCUGCCUUGAAGUUCGGAAUAACUGCGGGAAACUGCAGCUAAUACCGGAUGUGGCCUGCGGGCCAAAGGGGAAACUCGCUUCAAGAGGGGCCCGCGUCCGAUUAGCUAGUUGGCGGGGUAACGGCCCACCAAGGCGAUGAUCGGUAGCUGGCUGAGAGGACGACCAGCCACACUGGAACUGAGAUACGGUCCAGACUCCUACGGGAGGCAGCAGUGGGGAAUAUUGGUACAAUGGGGGCGAACCCUGAUCCAGCAAUGCCGCGUGAGUGAUGAAGG